Molecule: long non-coding RNA, 707 nt
Organism: Cydia amplana
Lineage: Eukaryota; Metazoa; Arthropoda; Insecta; Lepidoptera; Tortricidae
Exons: 2
Source: RefSeq, a predicted model, not a curated record
GUAUGAGUAGAUGUAUCCAGUCGUGGUCUCAACAGAUUGUUCCAUAUUUUUGACACAACUACUAUUCUUAUUGCUGUAAAAACGGGCGUUUACAUUUAUCUGUCUUAGAUUCUAAUCUGAAAUAAAUAUCUUUCAUUGUCUAGAGAGAAAUAAUCAUUGAUGUUUAUUAUUAUAUAUGUGUCAAUAAAAAAAUCUUAUCUAACUAUAUGCCAGAUUGUAUAAACAUACUUUGGUAUGUAAUUACUUAAAUAUUUUGUUUGAUUUCAGUAGCAAAAGAAGUACAUUGAUUGUAUUCUAAUUUGUUGGCUUUAGUUAACUUUUGUGAUUUAAAAUGAUUGUCUUAUUAACAUUGUUGAAGCAAUAAACAUAGCAUGUGAUGUGAGCAGCUGAACUAUGAUGUUGUAUAUCAUAGUUUCCACGUGUUCUUGUGUUGUGAUGUCUGGUAAGGGUAAUGGUGGACAUUUUUGACAAUAGUGGUGACAAGCCAAUAUCUUGGCUGCUACAAACUAGCACUAUGCCUACUAAGGCAUACAUUAGUGAUUAUAUUAGUUGUAUUAGUGAGGCUAGCUGCUCUACUUCAUAUCAUAAUUAUAUUCAGUAUUUGAUUGUUUGCAGUACCAUUAUAAUAUGUGAUUUUUCUAGUUUAAGUGAGAGAAUAUUUUUAUUGAUUUGUUCUGAGUGAGGGAAAUUAAAAUAGCUCGAAACUA